Molecule: ribosomal RNA, 459 nt
Filed under: uncultured bacterium
Lineage: Bacteria
Description: bacterial SSU rRNA
Rfam family: Bacterial small subunit ribosomal RNA
Source: RNAcentral
AAUGAACGCUGGCGGCAUGCCUAACACAUGCAAGUCGAACGAGACCUUCGGGUCUAGUGGCGCACGGGUGCGUAACGCGUGGGAAUCUACCCUUGGGUUCGGAAUAACUCAGAGAAAUUUGAGCUAAUACCGGAUGAUGACGUAAGUCCAAAGAUUUAUCGCCCAAGGAUGAGCCCGCGUAGGAUUAGCUUGUUGGUGAGGUAAAAGCUCACCAAGGCGACGAUCCUUAGCUGGUCUGAGAGGAUGAUCAGCCACACUGGGACUGAGACACGGCCCAGACUCCUACGGGAGGCAGCAGUGGGGAAUAUUGGACAAUGGGCGAAAGCCUGAUCCAGCAAUGCCGCGUGAGUGAUGAAGGCCUUAGGGUUGUAAAGCUCUUUUACCCGGGAAGAUAAUGACUGUACCGGGAGAAUAAGCUCCGGCUAACUCCGUGCCAGCAGCCGCGUAAAGUGACUACUG